UUGUAACUCGGCCAAUGGCCUCGACUCUAAAACCUUCUUCUUAUUCAAUGAAAAUACCAAGUCUUUUGCCUUGUUUCAUUUUUUUUUUUUUUUUUUUGCAAAAUCUGUGACAAUGUUACUUGUAGACUAAGAUAAAGAGCCACCCUCAUGCAGCUUCCUUUUGGUGCCCGCCUUUUGCCCCACACUGCCAUGGAAGAGAUAAAAGAGGAAUUUCCCCAUACAUUCUUUUCGGCGCAUGUUUACCAAGCAAACUCUCCCUUUCUGGAAAAAAAGACCCCUUCUCACAAAGUCACGAGUCAUCUGUGACUCGGAAAUGAAUCUAGCGAUCUCAAAGCGCUUCCACAACUUUGCUUUAACGCUUUUCUAUCCGAAAGCCCAAAUUGUAAAGAAAAACAAUACGGCACCAUGGCACCACCAUACGCACUACUACGCGACAACGCUAUCCAACAGGAACACCGAAUGUUUUCAUUUCUUCCCUUAGCACAGCUUUUGAGCGGCUAGUAUAUUCGUCGUUGUGGAUCGAAGCAUGUGAUUCAGAAACGGAGAAAAAAACUGAAAAAAGAAGGAGAUACGAUGAUCAGAGCAAGGCGUCUUUUGUACGAAGGUUGUGUACAUAUACUCCCUCCGUCCCAAAAUAAAUAUCGUUGAUUUAAUAUAAAUGUGCACUAAAAUCUAUACCUAUACUAAUUCUUGACUUCCUGUAAAUUCCCACGUUAAUCAGAUUUUACGAGCCGUUAAUUUCAUGGGACCAAAUUAUAACGGUGGAGAUCAUACCAGUAUUAAUUUUACUCAAUUCAGUCACGCAAUAGUUUAAAAGACCUACAAUGUUUGAUCUACUGUAUAAAAUUAGAAACCAUAAUAGAUACGAUCCUAACAGUUACUAAAAAAAGUUCGAUCCUAACAGAAAAUAUAAUCACAUGAGUACUUGAGGAGAUGUGCCUCGACCUGUUCAUUGCCUGUUCUCCCACGCAGUUCUCCCAGAAAUACGUUUCCUUUUCCUAUUAAUGCUUCCUUCCAAGCGCACGGCUCCUUUUCCUUUCCCAAAAAACUCUGUCGUCCCCCAUCAAUCCCAUAGGCUGGACGUCCAUCCCUCCAGAGGUUGAUCGAUCCUCUCGCAACUACCCAGGUCUCUACGAGAGGUUGAUCGAUCCUCUCCAACUGUCGCUCUUCCUCACCCUCCAUGGAUCAAUCUUGACGCGCCUAUCCUUCGGCUAGCUGAACUGCCUGACGAUCGCUGAUGGCUUGAUGCUACCGACUACGUGUGGCUAUGCCGAACAGUGUUGGAACCAGACAAGGCUAUUGAGCAAAACUUCAAAAGAAUGGAGGAGGACAGGUCACAGCGCUGUUUACCUGCUUAACACCAUUCGAUUUUGUGGGCGGUAACCUUACCAACAGGUUAUUGAAAAAAAAUCAUGCCCGAGAGUAGUGCGUGGGAGUGGAGGCGCUAACUCCACCCUACUGGAAUCGAUCUAUGAGAUACUAUAAAUCGAACAUCUAUUUCAGGCCAACUGAUAAACUGCGUGAUGAUGGUUGAUGGUUUGAUGCAGCCAUGGAGGUGUGGGUGUAUCGAAGACUGUUGGAACCAGAUUGGAUGGUCAUCGCCAUUGACAAGGCUGCUGAGCAAAAAAACUGUGCAGGAUUGGCUAUGGCGCUGUUUAUCUACUUAACACCAUUCGGUUUUGUGGGUGCUAACCUUACCAGCAGGUUAUUGAUUUAUUUUUCAUGCCCAACAGUGGCGCAUGGUAAUGGAGCCGCUAGCUCCUCCCUACUCUGCUCCUGCAGCUUGCCUUCAAGCGGUGUCUCGUUGUCAAGCUACUUAAACAGAUGACAUAGACAUGCCAUUCUCCAUGUCGAUGAGCCGUAUACCUAGACCCAAAGGGAAUCUCAGGUUUGGUCUUAUAUACACAAUAGGGCGUCUUAGAUGAUUAUGAAUGGAUGGAAUUAGUGGAUGCAAAUAUGAUGGUUGGAUGCUUGCUUUGUACCUAUGAUACCCGUGAAUGGGCUGAGCAUAUGGAACUAAAAAUUAAGCAUAAGGUUUCCAAAUUAAUUUUCUUAAAACAUCUAUACAUUAGCACGUCGUGCCAAUUUUUUUUACAUAUUAGUCUACUAAGAACCGAGUACCAACUUGCUAGGUGUCAAGUGUCCCUCAGUUCAUCGAGCUCCCAUGAAGGCCUCCUUCCAGGUCAUGGCUACUCUGGCUUUUUCUACCAAUCUAUUGUAAUCAGAGCUGAUUAAUAUUUUUGUUACUAAUCCUUUGUACAUACCUAUAUACAAAGCCUAAGUUCAAAUCAACAGAAUCAGAAUAGAUCAUUGUCAUGUUCUAUCCAUUGACUCGCAGAAUUUGAUUACCUUUCCUAGCUGUGAAGUGAUUAAAUGCAUAAUGUUAUUACCCUAUCAGAAUAUUCAUUUCCCAAGAUAAGCCGACUAUUAACAGUUUUAGUAGUUAGAAAUAUAUAUUUUACUUAAUUAAAAUUGUUGCAGGAUACAAAGGUGUGUGGUUUUGAAGAAGGCACCAUGGCAGAAAUCAUGUGGUAAAGGUUAACACGGCUUCCUGUUUCUUUAUUUAUCAAUAACAAAACUUCCUCGCAAGUGUUCUAUUGGAGGUUAUUUUUUUAAUAAUAUAUAGAUGACAUACAUAUUUGAAUUCAUCUUUUUCGUUGCACGACACCAUCACAUGUGGUUUUUUAAAAAUCAUGAUGUUAAGAAGCUUAGGCAGAGGUCCAAAAAUGACAGUGCAUGUGAGUACAAAUAUUAAGAUUUUCUUUGCAACGAACUUCACAUAUGUUGAAGGUGAAAGCAUCCUAAGUCUGUUGCUAGGACCAGUUUUUUCGAGGACCUUCGUUCUUCCCAUAAUGUGUACAUGGUAACUUUAGGAAUUUAUGUUGGAAAGGACAAAGAAAUAGGCAUCUCAUGGAAUUAUCAAUAUUUGAGAUUGUACCGUUGUGUUAGCUAUUUAUGUACGACAGAACAAAGAAAUGCAUGCAAGUCUUUGCAUUAUAAAGACUCGACACUGCGAAUUGGGUACGUCCUAACACAGUUUGAUGCAUACGACUAAUGGUUGUAAAGAACCUUUAAUGUUGCCAU
Molecule: non-coding RNA, 3084 nt
Organism: Aegilops tauschii subsp. strangulata
Lineage: Eukaryota; Viridiplantae; Streptophyta; Magnoliopsida; Poales; Poaceae
Source: RefSeq, a predicted model, not a curated record